Molecule: non-coding RNA, 351 nt
Organism: Pelobates cultripes (western spadefoot toad)
Lineage: Eukaryota; Metazoa; Chordata; Amphibia; Anura; Pelobatidae
Source: the annotation of a GenBank genome assembly
UAUUACUUUUCCAUAUUAAUGUAUUCAGUUCAGGCUUAUUGAGUGACUCCAUUUCCAGUCUAAACCACCAUUCUUUCCUCGUUGCUUUUUUGGUUAAUAAAUUAACAUGGUAUACCCUGCUGGCUUUGUAAUGUAUUUUUACCUCUGAUAAACCCCAUUUCCCAGACAUCCCAGACCUAUCCAAAGUUUUUUCCCCUUCCAUAUAAAAUUUCUAAAACUUCUUUGGAUAAGGUCCAACCAACCCUCAGGUAUACUUAGUGGUACCAUUUUUUAAAAAAAUAUGUCCAUAUAGGCAGAAUAUAAGCAUUUACUAUAUUAAUUCUGCUUAGCCAGUUUGUCAUCACAUUACCC